CUCUACUGUGUUUCUCAUUUUGUAACGCUUCAGGUUCGAUGCUCUUCUUUCUUCCACCGUUUCCCUCUUUUCGGUUUCUUAUUUUCCAAAAGUUCAGCAAGGCUUAAAGAUCAAAUGGAUGCAAGAGAAAUUUCAUUACCUAGCAACAUUCACCGUCUUCUCCACCAUUCUUCUCCGCGAUUCAUCUUCCAUUAGGUUACGCACAUGCUUCACUCCCAGAAUCGAAUCCUCUCUUCCUCGACCCCAUUAACCAAUUCCUCAACCCUAGGAUCUCAUUCAAGGAAGCUCAUUCGAAGGACAAUUCAGUUUCAGAGAAAGAGUCAGAGGAAUGCAGAAGCUGCGAGAAGAAAUUAGCAGAGAUCGAUGGAGAGGGGGCUUCCAGUGUGAUUUUUCGGUGAUUUGGGGUUUCAAUUUGGGCAUGUUUUUGAAAGCUUCUUUUGGACGGGUCUGUUUAUGUGAUUUCUCUGUGGCUGCUAACAAUAGCAGAUCUGAGGAUGCAGAGUGAAGGCAUGGAGAAUAGGACACCUUUGAGGGACAUUUCAGUAGAAUUAACCAAGGCUGAUGGGCUCAAUGCAGUGGCUAGGGUUGGAAUCUCAUAUGAACAUCAGGGAAUCCUUUGUGGUCUUCAUUGGAGCUUUUUGGUUUUCGCAAGAUGAUAUAGCCAAGGAAUAACCAUUAGAUACAACUUUACAUGCGUCAUACCAGAGGAAAAAACUGCACAACGAAUGUCAUAGCUGCAUCCUACCUUUCGGUUUUGCUUGGUUUGGAAUUACCUGGUUUUUGAGGCCCUCACUUAUAAGCUAACAGAGAGUAAAUGAGCUGUUUUGACUGAAAAUUUUGGAGUUGAUACUUGAUAGGUAUGCAGCUUAUUUUGCUUUGUCUUAAUUUUUAUUUUCUUAACUUUCAUUUGUUUGGAACUCAUGAAGUGGUUGUUUUAUGUUUUGAUAGUGUUAAUUAAGACUGCCAUGGCUUUUUCGGAUUGAGUUUGUUUAUCUUUUCAGAGUAUUGAUGGUAAAUCAUCAUUCUUUUUGUUACCUUACAUUUUUAAUUUCUCACUGUUUCUUUAACUGUUUAACAGGUUUUUGAGGCCCUUGCUUAUAAGCUACCAAAGAGUAAAUGAACAAAUUGCUUUAAUAUUUGCUAUUCUUUUCUACCCAAGUCUAUUUAGAAUCACCAAAUACGAGUGAAAUUUUUCUGAUCACCGGAGAGCAUAUUCGGAUUAGUUUUUUUAUGGCCGCAAGGUAUGAAUUUUUUAAAGUGAAAAAUUGUGUAUAGCUGAGCUUGAGCCCAAGUUCCUUUUUUGCAACUUGCUUUGUGAAAUUUGGAGUCAGGUCUUCAUGCACCAUUGAAUCUGAUCCUGAUAUGCAGAGUUAAGGGUUUAUGGUAUUUCCUGUGGAUAUAUAUGGUUAGAGUUGUACCUAGGAUCGAUGGUUGACGGAGCACCUUAUUUGAUUCUGAUUUUGACUGGUAGUACAUUGCUAAUGUAUUAUUAUCUACAUGAUCUAGAUUUUGAUCAUAGAUUCUCCCAUUGCGUUGAAUGGUUCGCUCUUUUGUUAAAGUUUGAGAAUUCUUUCUUUUUUGACAAUCUGAUUUCUUUCUCUUAUUUUUUGGUGUUUGAAGAAAUAUGUACACGUUAUAGUAUAUUCUAAUACUGAUAGAAAAACUCAAGCCUAACUAUUCUUUUGAUGUUUAUUUUUACAUCUCUGCCUUUGGAAAAUAUCAGACUUUAAAUGUUCAUAUCUAGCAUGUGAUUUAAAAGAUGACCUUGAAUAUAUAGAAGUGGAUAACCAAGCUGUCAGAUUUAGGAUGAAAAUUUUCUUUGGAUAUAAUAUGCAUGUGAAGUAAAUGAAUAGUUGGUGGAACUUUUGAAGAUUCUAUUAAAGAAGAAAUGAAAUAUGAAUGCUUCCUCCUUAUGAAGUAUUUUGGUCUACAAGUUGGUUUGCUGGCUGGAAGUGAGUGGCAAGAUUAUUGCAGUAGUCGUAAUAUGAGCUGCCACUAGGAUGCAAGGUGUAGCUUCAUAAUAUUGACAUUGCAACACUCAUUAUGCAAUAGUCAUUAUACAAGACUGUAAAAAUGCAGCUUGGUAUAUCAAUAAGGCUAGAGUGUGAAGCAACAUUUGAGGAAUGGACAAUGUUGCUUUCAGCUAUUUGCUUAAUUAACUAAUUUGCUUGGGUUUCUCUGGUGUCUUUUUAUGGGUUUGGAAUUUUCUAUUGUAAGAUUUGGGAAAGCUUAACAAGGAACACAUGUAGCUUAAUCCCUUUUGUAAUUUGAUAUUUGAUUUCUAAUGGGCAGAAGUGUUUGAAUUCUAAACUGUACCAUGAAAUUUACAGUUUUUUUUUUCUAUAAAAAGGAAUAUUAGCUACACAACUAUGAUAUGGGAUGAACGAAUAAUGGGUUGCGGGAAAGUAAAAUUUGCUUAGCUCAAUAGUAUACAAUUUAAGAUCUAUAGUCGUUUUGCCAGUCUUUUAUUAUGUAACAUUUGUCAUGUAUUUUAUUUUCUUCCUAAGCUAAGACUGCAGAACUUAAAUGUAACAUUUUUAUUCCAUCUUGAAUAGUGUUUCGUGUCAGUUGCUUGCCCCAUGCAGAAUUUUUUUUCUUCCUGAUUUUCAAAUUUCCCAGCAAGUAUGUUAGCAUUCCUUGAGUGAUUGCUACUUUUGUGUAUAUUGUGGAACAUGAAUAUGGACCAAUGGAUUUUUGGGGAAAAAUCCUUGAAUACAUGUACAUGGGUGAUAGGCGGACCAUUGAAUAUGUGCUCUUUUUUAUUUGGAUUGUCAUCACUUCUCAUUUAUGAAAUGUCAUCUCUUCGUGACCAGAUGAGGAGAGUGUGAUGGAUAUCUAAAAAAUCACCAAGGAAUGAAAUUAAUUAUUUUAAAUCUAAUUUUCUUGGUUCUUAUAUUAAUAUCCAGAUUCCAUAUCUCAUAGGCACAAACAAUUUUUAUUUGUGGCUUUAAUUUGAUUGAUCUUCCUCAAUCAAUCACAAUCCAUAAAACUGAAAAAAAAAAAAAGAACGAAAGGUUAGGGAUGAAAUUUUGCGUAGAACAAACAUAAGGGACAACUCCAAAUGUAGAAAUUCUUAAGAAUGACAUAAUUUAUUUGACCUAUAGUACGUUCUGUUAAAAAUUGUGUUGAUCAUUUAAAUAAAAAACAUUAACAAUUGUGUUGUUUCAAGUAAAAUAACUAAAAGGCUAUGUAACACCAUUAAAAAAUAUUACAAAACUUUGUCACUGAUAUAAAUUAAUGUGCAAACAUAGGGAAGAUAGCAAAGCCAUGGAAUCCCAAGGGGAUUUUAGUGAAGCUUACAAUUGAACAAUAAAGGUACAUAAAUUGUUAAAUUAAUAUUUUUAAGAAAUAUUGUUAGGAGAGUUACAAAGUGAUGGAAUCCCCAGGGGAUUUUAGUGAAGCUUGCAAUUAAAUAUUAAACACCAUUAAGCUUAUUAAAAAUGAAACUGAUGUCAACUAACUACCAAAUACACAACUAAGAAAAAACUAAAAGGCAAAUAAGAAUGAUCCAGCUUCCUAGGGACAAUAGAUUGAUAAGCGGAUUUUUUAAAACAUAAAUUUAGAAGUUAAUAGUUAUUCAAAUUUAAUUAUGUGAUAAAUUGGUAUUUAUUAAUCUAUUUAAAAUUAAAUUUAUUGUUGCCUUUUGGUUCCUUUCUUUUAUGGAUGAAUUGUAUUAUGAUAGAGAGCGCUGUAGGGAAUUGUAAAGGAUUAAAAAUCCCAAUUUGCGAUGGUGAUGACAAUAAUUCAAAUAGUACUUCAAAUGUAGUUUACAAAGAAGUAUUUCGCAAUGUAAUGUGAAGGAGAUAUUUUUGCAAAAAUGUGAAAUAUUACGUUCUUAAUUUUAUUCUCAAUGAAAUAAUGCCAAUUGCAAAAAAAAAAAACACAUAUUCUUAACGCAACAAGGUUACUUCAACUAUUUUUUUUGUUUGAAAUGAAUGUUACUUCAACUAGCUCAGAUACACUAAUCAAUAAAGACAAAAAUAAUAUUAAUCUACCUUUAAAACAACAAGUCAAAAGAUAAAAACAAAAUAAUAAAAAAAAACAAAAAACAAACAUUUAAUUAAAAGAAAACAUAAUAAUUCAUAAACUACUCUUUUUUUAUAUCUUUUAAUCAAUAAAAUAUAUUUAAAUAAAAACAAAUUUAACAAAAAAAACACACAAAAAAACCCAAAAAUGAAUAUCCCCAUGCAUCGCACGGGCAAAAAGUACUAGUUAUGAUCAAUAUACUCUAAGAAAAGAAACCCCUUCUGGGUUACGUGUCACCUCCUCCUUUUUUCUGGAUUAUUUUAAGUUUUCUUCUUAUUUCUUAUUUCAAGUACCCACUCUUCUUCUUUUAACUUCCCGCUCUUCUUCUUCUGGAAAUUUUCAAAAAACUUUGAAAUGAAAUAAGGCUGCACAUGUCAGUCACACCAUCAAUUGGAAUUGGAAAUAUUAAAAAAAAUAAAAAAAUCCCUAUCUCUUCUCAUUUUUCUCUCUCACUUCUUUACUCUUGCUUCCGUCUUCUUCAUCUCUCUUGAAAUUUUCCUAUUUCACUUUUCUUUCUACAUCUUCUGCAUCAGGUUAGUUCCAUCUCCUCUUUUCCUAACCUUUGCUUCAAAGUUUUAAUUUUCACUUCCUCUCUCUCAUAAGGCUUGCCAUUUCACAGGAAAACGAAAAUCAAGUGUUGCUCUUCAUCUCAGUCUUCUACAACGCAUCAAGCAUCUGAAGGCUUGCUUUUGAAAGAGCCAUGGGAAGUAGAAUUCGGUGCUAAAUCUGAAGAUCGUUGACCCUAAGAUCCACAGAUUUGCGUAAGAGGAAAGCAGACCAUGAAAGGAAGAUGGAGAGCAUGUGGAAGAAGACUGUUAGGCAUGAUGAUGAAGAUAAUGGUCUGUUAUGGUAGAACCAUUAUAUGGUUCUUCAAGUACAACAUUAAUUUACGGAAAAUAUUGGCUCACUCUAAAUGAUGCUUUCUAUUUGGUCAUUAUUAGUAUACCUAUAAUUGGAUUUCUCAUGUUUGUUUAGUUGCUACUAUAAUUUAUAUUAAUCUUACAAUUUCAUUUUUUUA
Molecule: long non-coding RNA, 5044 nt
Organism: Lotus japonicus
Lineage: Eukaryota; Viridiplantae; Streptophyta; Magnoliopsida; Fabales; Fabaceae
Exons: 8
Source: RefSeq, a predicted model, not a curated record